Molecule: long non-coding RNA, 1826 nt
Organism: Brassica napus (rape)
Lineage: Eukaryota; Viridiplantae; Streptophyta; Magnoliopsida; Brassicales; Brassicaceae
Exons: 2
Source: RefSeq, a predicted model, not a curated record
AAAAGAGAUGACCAAAAAAAAAUCCUAACCCAAAGCACUCACUAAGAAGACUUUUUCAUAAACCGAACUAUGAGUGACCCAAUGUAUAUACAAAUAACCAUUGAUACACAACCAGUCUAUAUACCCUCAGUUACACUUACAAUAUAUCAGUACUGACCUUUCAGCUUACUGAAUCAUUUUUCAUUCGCAUAGAAUAUCACUAGUAGAAAAAAUCGCUAUAGCUACGAAUUUGCUACGUUAUUUUCGUAGCAAAAUGGAAAAAGCUACGAAUUUGCUACGAAUUUGCCACGAAACGUAAAACGUAGCAAACCAUAUCAAUUGUGUAGCUAAAUUAGCUACGAUUUUGCUACGAAUGUAAACGUAGCAAAAAAUUGCUACGAUUUUGCUACGAAUAUUACGUGGCUAAUAUACAAAAUAUCUUUUAGCUACGAUUUGCUAUGAAAAUAUUCGUGGCUAUUUGAAACCCUAUACCCUAAACAUGUUUCUAACCCCUAAACUCUAAAAGUAAACUUUAAACUCUAAUAUUUUCAUACUAUAACCUCAAAAUCUUAAAGUUAAACUCAAAUUUAAUCACUUUUAAAAUAACUUUUCAAAUUUUAAAUCUAAACUCAAACACUAUAUUUCAAACCCUAAACUUUAUAUAUAAACUCUAUACCCAAAUCAUAAAUCAAAACAUUAACUCUAAUAUUUUCAAAGUUUAACAACAAAUAUCAACUUAAACUCAAAAUUUAAUAUUUUAAAUAAAUUAUUUCCAAAACUACUAAAAUUCAAACACUAUAUUCCAAACCAUAUACAAUAACUCUAAAUUUUAUACACCAAAUCGUAAAAUCCAAACAUCAAAUUUAACCUUUUCAAAUUUAAACACCAAAACCUAAACAUAGAUACUAAUCAAAAAAUUUCAAAUUGUAUUCUCAAAUUUUACUCUAAACCCCAAACCUAAGACUCCAAAUAAACUUUAAUCAUGAACAUUAACCUUAUAUUUAAAACUUUUAAAUUAGACUAAACUUUUAACUUUAAUCAUAGUCAUUAAUCAAAUCCUAUAUUAUAAAUCUAUUAUUUAAAUUUAAAUUCAUUUGUUUAAACCCCAUAUAAACCCAUUCAUAUUUAAGUGAAUUAGAAGCUUAUUUGAUGACCAAAGAAAAAGAAUUAACAGCUUAAUUCUGAUUGGACCAAAAAGUGAGGCGUGGAUCACCAUUUUCGAAUCUCUGCCGUUGAUAAUCUUACGGCUCAGAUUAAUUCACUAUUAAUAUUUUAUGUUUGUUUUAUCUCUUUCUUCCUUUCUUCUUCCUCCACACGAUUUUAUACUUCUUAUUUUCUUCUUCUUCUGUACCUCUUCGAUCUCCUCAUCUAAUCUCAUCUCUCUUAUCCUCUUCCCAUCUCUCUUUCUCCUCUGCUCAUCUUUCAUUUACUUUUCUUCUUUCAAGCAAAUGGAUCUGAACGAAGAGGAUUACCACCGUCAUGCUUCUCACCACCAUGCUCCUUUCUAUUCGGUUGCGCCCUUCACCACCGCACGCUCGUCAACACCACCACCGGAAAGUGGAGGAGGCACAGGAUUGAUGAAUGAGGCACAGGAGAUUGAUGGAGGAGGUAGCAGUGGUGGGUCGUGAGCAGAGCCGGCUUGAAUGUUGAAGACGAAGAAGCUCGGUGAGGAGGCCGCAGGCGGCGGAGAAUAUACAUUAGGUUUAGAUUAGGGUUAGGUAUAUUUUUAAUUUGGUUUAGUAUGCUAAACCGAUUUUAUUUAUUAAUAGUUUGAUAAAUCGUUUUAAAUUUUGUAAGCCAAUUUGAUAUAUAAAAUAUAAUUUAAUAAUAUUUUUUUAUUUCGUAAA